Molecule: transfer RNA, 71 nt
Filed under: Trichophyton rubrum CBS 735.88
Lineage: Eukaryota; Fungi; Ascomycota; Eurotiomycetes; Onygenales; Arthrodermataceae
Description: tRNA-Asp (GTC) (tRNA-Asp-GTC-2-1)
Rfam family: tRNA
About the family: Transfer RNA (tRNA) molecules are approximately 80 nucleotides in length. Their secondary structure includes four short double-helical elements and three loops (D, anti-codon, and T loops).
Source: RNAcentral
UCCUUGAUGGUCAUUGGUCAUGAUUUCCGCUUGUCACGCGGGAGACUGGGGUUCGAUUCCCCGUCAGGGAG